UGUUGGUCAGGCUGGUCUUGAACUCCCGACCUGAGGUGAUCCACCUGCCUCGGUCUCCCAAAGUGCUGGGAUUACAGGAGUGAGCCACACCGCGCCCGGCCUGUGCUGCUCUUAUUAAGCAACUGCCUCAUAUGAGGCUCUAAAUAGCUUCUUUUAGUGUUUGAAACCUCAUAAACUGUAGUCAUGGCAACUGGUGUCUGAUCUAGGUGGGAGCCAGCUUCUAAGGUAACUGGACAUCCAGCAGAUCACUCCACAGCUUUGCUCCCAGCCUGUCCACCUCACCCUCGGUCAACUUCCCCUGAGCCUGCUGCUGUCUCCUGAGCCCCCUGAGAUCCAGAUAGAUACCCACUGGGAGGAAGCAGGAUGGAGACAUGGGAUCAGGCGUUGCUUUCUUGCAGCCUGUAGUCCCGGAUUCAAUUCAUUAUGGAACAUGAGCCCCGCACUUCUGAGUUUCUCAUCCGCUAGCUGGUAAAUGUGACCAGGCAGGACAGCACUGGCACAAACCAGUGCAGUGAAAAAGAGAGGAAGUGAUUCCAAGGCAAGGCGAGACUCCCAGACAAAGGAUGGAGAUGAGAGUGCUUUUAUCAGGUGCUUUGUCACCAGUCCACUGUUUGAAUCUCUACCUUUCUGUCCUAGUUCAGAACUGCCAGACACACUGGAAGGUCUCCGGUGUUCAGUUACUGGCUGCUUUGUUUAACAGUUAAUUCCAACAGCCAAUCAGACAAUUCUAGACACUUUUAGUAUCUCCUGGAGCUUUGGCCCUACUCCAAUGACUGCUAAAAAUGACAAACACACCCAUGGUUCCACUUCCCCAAAGGCCAAAAAAAUACGAAUUGGAUUUCAGUUUUUGUGAUACAGAGUAAUCCAAAGUCUUUAGGGAACAACAAAAGCAGCUCAAAUUAUAGCUCAUUGUGACAUGAAAAAAGAGAAAAAGAAAAAUGGUACAGAGAAGUGCUAGUAAGAGGAAACCAGCAGUCAUGACAGCUCUGCCCCAGUUCCCUUCUUCAAACGUGAGCUUCAGUGUAGGGCUGGCGCUCCACCCUGACUCCCUAGGCUCUACUUUUCCUUUGGUGAUGGCUUCUGCACUAAAUGGCUGAUCGCAGUUAAGGUGAAAGCUCCUGUCAUUGCUUCAGUCCCUUCCAACUUGGUUAAGUUCAGAGAUAACAGGUCUAAGGAAUUUACAAAAGGGAACAUUAAUUUGUGCAAGAAUAUUUUAAACAUCUAUUGAGUAUCAGGCAUGGGCUUCAGAGAGCCUGAAGAGUCUGUAGCAUAAAAGAGAAAUGAAGACAAGCACAAACAGGAUUCAUGUGAUAGCUGAGGAUGGAUAACAUACUGUAGAGCAGUGGCUCUCAAACUUUCUAUGCCCCUCAUCCUCCUGGAGAGCUUGCUGUCAGGAUUUGAAACCUAUGUGCUACUGAGUGGCGUUCUUCAUGACUGGAUCUGGUCAGCACAUCCCUCCUCCAGCUUCCAAAUUCAACUCAAACCAAGACAGACUAUCUGCAGGGAUGGCAUGUUCAACUCUGCAACAAGGCCUGUGGCUGGAGCAAACAAGAUAAUAGCCUACAGUCCCAGCUACUUGGGAGGCUGAAGUGGGAGGAUUGCUUGAGCCCAGAAGCUGUCUCCAGCCUGUGCAACAUAGGGAGACCUCAUCUCUAAAAAACAAAAUAGGCUGGGCAUGGUGGUUCGUGCCUGUAAUCCCAGC
Molecule: long non-coding RNA, 1702 nt
Organism: Gorilla gorilla gorilla (western lowland gorilla)
Lineage: Eukaryota; Metazoa; Chordata; Mammalia; Primates; Hominidae
Exons: 2
Source: RefSeq, a predicted model, not a curated record